CWCGCAGMUUACCAUGCAGUCGACGCCCCGCAAGGGGAGUGGCAKACGGGUGAGUAACGCGUGGGAACAUACCCUUUCCUGCGGAAUAKCUCCGGGAAACUGGAAUUAAUACCGCRWACSCCCUACGGGGGAAAGAUUUAUCGGGGAAGGAUUGGCCCGCGUUGGAUUAGCUAGUUGGUGGGGUAAAGGCCUACCAAGGCGACGAUCCAUAGCUGGUCUGAGAGGAUGAUCARCCACAUUGGGACUGAGACACGGCCCAAACUCCUACGGGAGGCARCASUGGGGAAUAUUGGACAAUGGGCGCAAGCCUGAUCCAGCCAUGCCGCGUGAGUGAUGAAGGCCUUAGGGUUGUAAAGCUCUUUCACCGGAGAAGAURAUGACGGUAUCCGGAGAAGAAGCCCCGGCUAACUUCGUGCCAGCAGCCGCGGUAAUACSAAGGGGGCUAGCGUUGUUCGGAAUUACUGGGCGUAARGCGCACGUAKGCGGAUAUUUAAGUCAGGGGUGAAAUCCCAGAGCUCAACUCUGGAACUGCCUUUGAUACUGGGUAUCUUGAGUAUGGAASAGGUAAGUGGAAUUCCGAGUGUAGCGGUAAARWRGGGCKAAAKYARAAAAUUYGGGAKGWAGYGGGUGAAAAA
RNAcentral lists this ribosomal RNA (635 nucleotides) under Rhizobium sp. AK-38. RNAcentral describes it as "partial 16S ribosomal RNA". It matches the Rfam family "Bacterial small subunit ribosomal RNA", at positions 43 to 719 of the family's 1533-position model. Lineage: Bacteria; Pseudomonadati; Pseudomonadota; Alphaproteobacteria; Hyphomicrobiales; Rhizobiaceae. The record is from RNAcentral.